AGAGCUACUGAUUGGAUGCGGGGGCUUCACCGCCUACCAAUUCCUGACAAACUCCGAAUGCUAUAAAAUGAUUACCAGCAGUGAGGGCAUGGGUGCUAAGGUCCAUGUCCAAGAGGGAAAGAACCCAGACCAUCAGCUAAGGUCCCCAAAUGUAUGCUAAGUUGAAAAAACGAGGUUUGUCUGCAUAGACAGCUAGGAUGUUGGCUUGGAAGCAGCCAUUCAUUUAAAGAGUGCGUAACAGCUCACUAGUCGAGCGGUUGAGCAUGGAUAAUAAUCGGGCAUAAGUAUACUACCGAAGCUAUGGACUUGAAAAAGUGGUAGGGGAGCAUUCUAUAGGCAUCGAAGGUGAUAUGUGAGUAUUGCUGGAGCGUAUAGAAAAGAAAAUGUAGGCAUAAGUAACGAUAAUGCGGGCGAGAAACCCGCACGCCGAAAGACCAAGGAUUCCUCAGCUAUGCUAAUCAGCUGAGGGUUAGUCGGGGCCUAACGCGAACCCGAACGGGGUAGUGGAUGGACAACAGGUUAAUAUUCCUGUACCUGCUUACAAUAAAAGUGACGGAGGCGUAUAUUUGGUGCGUGCAGACGGAAUUGCACGUUGAAGAGAGUGGUAACACCUCGAUAGUACACUAAGACUACGGUUGCGGUGAUAAUCCAGAGAAGCGACUUCCAAGAAAAGCGUGUAAAGCAGCCCGUACCGUAAACCGACACAGGAGGUU
RNAcentral lists this ribosomal RNA (713 nucleotides) under Pseudoalteromonas fuliginea. Its description in RNAcentral is "partial 23S ribosomal RNA". It matches the Rfam family "Bacterial large subunit ribosomal RNA", at positions 904 to 1668 of the family's 2925-position model. Lineage: Bacteria; Pseudomonadati; Pseudomonadota; Gammaproteobacteria; Alteromonadales; Pseudoalteromonadaceae. The record is from RNAcentral.